RNAcentral lists this non-coding RNA (22 nucleotides) under Arabidopsis thaliana (thale cress). Lineage: Eukaryota; Viridiplantae; Streptophyta; Magnoliopsida; Brassicales; Brassicaceae. The record is from RNAcentral.
CCCUACCUUUAUCGAUUCGUGC